GACGAACGCUGGCGGCGUGCUUAACACACGCAAGUCGAACGGAAAGGCCCUGCUUUUGUGGGGUGCUCGAGUGGCGAACGGGUGAGUAACACGUGAGUAACCUGCCCUUGACUUUGGGAUAACUUCAGGAAACUGGGGCUAAUACCGGAUAGGAGCUCCUGCUGCAUGGUGGGGGUUGGAAAGUUUCGGCGGUUGGGGAUGGACUCGCGGCUUAUCAGCUAGUUGGUGGGGUAGUGGCUUACCAAGGCUUUGACGGGUAGCCGGCCUGAGAGGGUGACCGGCCACAUUGGGACUGCGAUACGGCCCAGACUCCUACGGGAGGCAGCAGUGGGGAAUAUUGCCCAAUGGGCGGAAGCCUGAUGCAGCAACGCCGCGUGCGGGAUGACGGCCUUCGGGUUGUAAACCGCUUUCGCCUGUGACGAAGCGUGAGUGACGGUAAUGGGUAAAGAAGCACCGGCUAACUACGUG
RNAcentral lists this ribosomal RNA (468 nucleotides) under uncultured bacterium. RNAcentral's name for it is "partial 16S ribosomal RNA". It matches the Rfam family "Bacterial small subunit ribosomal RNA", at positions 28 to 507 of the family's 1533-position model. The record is from RNAcentral.